ACUGCCCCAGAGGUGUAACAGGUAUGGCUGCUGUGUCAAAUGUGUGUAAGUAGGUGGCAGAGUCAAAAGGCUGCAACUAUGCUCUGUGUUCUGACCCGUGAACAUCUGAAUGAUUAGUAGCCUAACAUU
Molecule: small nucleolar RNA, 129 nt
Organism: Mus caroli (Ryukyu mouse)
Lineage: Eukaryota; Metazoa; Chordata; Mammalia; Rodentia; Muridae
Product: small nucleolar RNA SNORA17
Source: RefSeq, a predicted model, not a curated record